CUUCGGUGAUGAUACGAUGACGAGUCGGAACGGGGCCGGUUCUGUCUUCGAGGAUUCUGGGUCAGGUUCACGUUCUGUGCGUCUGACUUCAGUUCCUCAAAAGCAGAGAGUCCUAUUUGCUUGAAGACAUAGAGGCAUUUGUCUGAGAAGG
Small nucleolar RNA from Puntigrus tetrazona (Sumatra barb), 151 nucleotides. NCBI's taxonomy places the organism in Eukaryota, Metazoa, Chordata, Actinopteri, Cypriniformes, Cyprinidae. The record is from RefSeq and is a predicted model, not a curated record.